Molecule: long non-coding RNA, 234 nt
Filed under: Elaeis guineensis (African oil palm)
Lineage: Eukaryota; Viridiplantae; Streptophyta; Magnoliopsida; Arecales; Arecaceae
Description: long non-coding RNA (EGUI_LNC024968)
Source: RNAcentral
AUCCUCCAAAACUAUACAAGCAUCCGCAAAACUCUCCACACACCGAGAUAAACCAAGUAGCUCAGUUUGUUUACUUCUCACAGGAUAUGCUGGUGCUUUACCGCUCCAUGAGUCAAUCACCUGUGUUUCAGACUACUGCCAUGUCUUUAUAUGCAAUGCCUCAUGUUCAUUGAGUCACAUCUAUAUCACCAAUACAUGAUUUAUUAUUCCUUGAUGGUUCGUUUUCACCAAGAA